UAGCUCAGUUCGUAGAGCGCUCCACUGGAAAUGGAGAGGUCCCGGGUUCGAUACCCGC
Molecule: transfer RNA, 58 nt
Filed under: Ixodes scapularis (black-legged tick)
Lineage: Eukaryota; Metazoa; Arthropoda; Arachnida; Ixodida; Ixodidae
Rfam family: tRNA
About the family: Transfer RNA (tRNA) molecules are approximately 80 nucleotides in length. Their secondary structure includes four short double-helical elements and three loops (D, anti-codon, and T loops). Further hydrogen bonds mediate the characteristic L-shaped molecular structure. tRNAs have two regions of fundamental functional importance: the anti-codon, which is responsible for specific mRNA codon recognition, and the 3' end, to which the tRNAs corresponding amino acid is attached (by aminoacyl-tRNA synthetases). tRNAs cope with the degeneracy of the genetic code in two manners: having more than one tRNA (with a specific anti-codon) for a particular amino acid; and 'wobble' base-pairing, i.e. permitting non-standard base-pairing at the 3rd anti-codon position.
Source: Rfam by way of RNAcentral